RNAcentral lists this ribosomal RNA (582 nucleotides) under uncultured fungus. Its description in RNAcentral is "eukaryotic LSU rRNA". It matches the Rfam family "Eukaryotic large subunit ribosomal RNA", at positions 40 to 647 of the family's 3401-position model. The record is from RNAcentral. Lineage: Eukaryota; Fungi.
AUAUCAAUAAGCGGAGGAAAAGAAACCAACAGGGAUUGCCCUAGUAACGGCGAGUGAAGCGGCAACAGCUCAAAUUUGAAAUCUGGCGCAAGCCCGAGUUGUAAUUUGUAGAGGAUGCUUCUAGGCAGCGGCCGGUCUAAGUCUCUUGGAACAGGGCGUCAUAGAGGGUGAGAAUCCCGUAUGUGACCGGCUGGCACCUUAUACGUAGCUCCUUCGACGAGUCGAGUUGUUUGGGAAUGCAGCUCUAAAUGGGAGGUAAAUUUCUUCUAAAGCUAAAUACCGGCCAGAGACCGAUAGCGCACAAGUAGAGUGAUCGAAAGAUGAAAAGCACUUUGGAAAGAGAGUUAAAAAGCACGUGAAAUUGUUGAAAGGGAAGCGCUUGCAACCAGACUUGUUGGCGGUGUUCCGCCGGUCUUCUGACCGGUCUACUCGCCGCCCGCAGGCCAGCGUCGUCUGGGGCCGCCGGAGAAAGGCGUUGGGAAUGUAGCUCCCUCGGGAGUGUUAUAGCCCAUCGCACAAUACGGCGCGCGCCGGGCGAGGUCCGCGCUUCGGCAAGGACGCUGGCGUAAUGGUCGUAAGCGG